UACGGGGGGAGCAAGCGUUGUUCGGAUUUACUGGGCGUAAAGGGCGCGUAGGCGGCCUCUGCAAGUCGACUGUGAAAUCUCCGGGCUUAACCCGGAAAGGUCAGCCGAUACUGCAGGGCUAGAGUGCAGAAGGGGCAACUGGAAUUCUCGGUGUAGCGGUGAAAUGCGUAGAUAUCGAGAGGAACACCUGCGGCGAAGGCGGGUUGCUGGGCUGACACUGACGCUGAAGUGCGAAAGCUAGGGGGGCGAACGGG
RNAcentral lists this ribosomal RNA (254 nucleotides) under uncultured bacterium. RNAcentral's name for it is "partial 16S ribosomal RNA". It matches the Rfam family "Bacterial small subunit ribosomal RNA", at positions 524 to 776 of the family's 1533-position model. The record is from RNAcentral.